This 482-nucleotide ribosomal RNA is filed under the name uncultured bacterium. RNAcentral's name for it is "bacterial SSU rRNA". It matches the Rfam family "Bacterial small subunit ribosomal RNA", at positions 10 to 518 of the family's 1533-position model. The record is from RNAcentral.
AGUUUGAUUAUGGCUCAGGAUUAACGCUGGCGGCGUGCCUAAUACAUGCAAGCCGAAUGGUAGCAAUACCAUGGCGAACGGGUGAGUAACACGUAGGUAACCUGUCUUUAAGCCGAGGAUAACCAUUGGAAACGAUGGAUAAUACUGGAUAGGACAUUUGAAGGCAUCUUUAGAUGUUUAAAGAUUUAUCACUUAGAGAGGGGCCUGCGGCGCAUUAGCUAGUUGGUGAGGUGAAGGCUUACCAAGGCGAUGAUGCGUAGCCGGACUGAGAGGUUGAACGGCCACAAUGGAACUGAGAACGGUCCAUACUCCUACGGGAGGCAGCAGUAGGGAAUUUUCGGCAAUGGGCGGAAGCCUGAACCCGAGCAACGCCGCGUGAACGAAGAAGUAUUUCGGUAUGUAAAGUUCUUUUAUUAGGGACGAAAAGACAGAUUGACGGUACCUAAUGAAUAAGCUCCGGCUAACUACGUGCCAGCAGCCGC